GCGUGCAUAGUUCAACAGGCAGAACGCCCGCCAGCCCGGCGGGUGACGUUGGUUCGAGACCCGCUGCACGCUCCA
Molecule: transfer RNA, 75 nt
Filed under: Subdoligranulum variabile
Lineage: Bacteria; Bacillati; Bacillota; Clostridia; Eubacteriales; Oscillospiraceae
Also listed under: 4 other names
Description: tRNA-Gly
Rfam family: tRNA
About the family: Transfer RNA (tRNA) molecules are approximately 80 nucleotides in length. Their secondary structure includes four short double-helical elements and three loops (D, anti-codon, and T loops). Further hydrogen bonds mediate the characteristic L-shaped molecular structure. tRNAs have two regions of fundamental functional importance: the anti-codon, which is responsible for specific mRNA codon recognition, and the 3' end, to which the tRNAs corresponding amino acid is attached (by aminoacyl-tRNA synthetases). tRNAs cope with the degeneracy of the genetic code in two manners: having more than one tRNA (with a specific anti-codon) for a particular amino acid; and 'wobble' base-pairing, i.e. permitting non-standard base-pairing at the 3rd anti-codon position.
Source: RNAcentral